Molecule: long non-coding RNA, 203 nt
Organism: Lampris incognitus (smalleye Pacific opah)
Lineage: Eukaryota; Metazoa; Chordata; Actinopteri; Lampriformes; Lampridae
Exons: 3
Source: RefSeq, a predicted model, not a curated record
CAGAGGCAUCAUUGCGUCCAUCAUCGUCCUGCUCCCAGCUGCAUCAGCUCCAGUCCUGCAGAGAGACGAGAACAGAGAGCAACGCAUUCUCAUCCCAUGGCGUCAACAGGCAGACUCAUACCAAAGCCCCUUCUCGAGAGGAACACGAGCACGUUGUCCACAACAUGGAGUGUUAAGUAUGCAGAAUGCCGGAGCCACUCCCC